AUUGAACGCUGGCGGUAUGCUUAAGACAUGCAAGUCGAACGGUAACAGACCUUCGGGUGCUGACGAGUGGCGGACGGGUGAGUAACACGUGGGAAUCUACCUUGUAGUGGGGGAUAAGCCAGGGAAACUUGGACUAAUACCGCAUACGCCCUAAGGGGGAAAGGAGCAAUUCGCUAUAAGAUGAGCCCGCGUCUGAUUAGCUAGUUGGUGAGGUAAAGGCUCACCAAGGCGACGAUCAGUAGCUGGUCUGAGAGGGUGACCAGCCACAUUGGGACUGAGACACGGCCCAGACUCCUACGGGAGGCAGCAGUCGGGAAUAUUGGACAAUGGGGGCAACCCUGAUCCAGCAAUACCGCGUGUGUGAAGAAGGCCCUCGGGUUGUAAAGCUCUUUUGUCCGGAAAGAAAAGCAAUCGGUUAAUACCCGGUUGUUCUGACGGUACCGGAAGAAUAAGCACCGGCUAACUUCGUG
Molecule: ribosomal RNA, 470 nt
Filed under: uncultured bacterium
Lineage: Bacteria
Description: partial 16S ribosomal RNA
Rfam family: Bacterial small subunit ribosomal RNA
Source: RNAcentral